AACCUCCGCAAUGCGAGCAAUCGCGACGGGGGGACCCGAAGUGCCACUUUAACGGGGUGGCUUUUAUGAAGUACUUCAAGAUAAGAGCUGGCAAGACCGGUGCCAGCCGCCGCGGUAACACCGGCAGCUCAAGUGGUGGCCGUUUUUAUUGGGCCUAAAGCGUUCGUAGCCGGUUUGAUAAGUCUCUGGUGAAAUCCUAUAGCUUAACUGUGGGAAUGCUGGAGAUACUAUCAGGCUUGAGGCCGGGAGAGGCUGGAGGUACUCCCAGGGUAGGGGU
This 277-nucleotide ribosomal RNA is filed under the name uncultured archaeon. RNAcentral's name for it is "partial 16S ribosomal RNA". It matches the Rfam family "Archaeal small subunit ribosomal RNA", at positions 345 to 633 of the family's 1478-position model. The record is from RNAcentral.